CAGGGAUUGCCCUAGUAACGGCGAGUGAAGCGGCAACAGCUCAAAUUUGAAAUCUGGCUCUUUCAGGGUCCGAGUUGUAAUUUGCAGAGGGCGCUUUGGCGUUGGCAGCGGUCCAAGUUCCUUGGAACAGGACGUCACAGAGGGUGAGAAUCCCGUACGUGGUCGCUGGCCUUCGCCGUGUAAAGCCCCUUCGACGAGUCGAGUUGUUUGGGAAUGCAGCUCUAAAUGGGAGGUAAAUUUCUUCUAAAGCUAAAUACUGGCCAGAGACCGAUAGCGCACAAGUAGAGUGAUCGAAAGAUGAAAAGCACUUUGGAAAGAGAGUCAAAUAGCACGUGAAAUUGUUGAAAGGGAAGCGCUUGCAGCCAGACUUGCCUGUAGUUGCUCAUCCGGGCUUCUGCCCGGUGCACUCUUCUAUAGGCAGGCCAGCAUCAGUUUGGGCGGUUGGAUAAAGGUCUCUGUCAUGUACCUCUCUUCGGGGAGGCCUUAUAGGGGAGACGACAUGCAACCAGCCUGGACUGAGGUCCGCGCAUUUUGCUAGGAUGCUGGCGUAAUGGCUGUAAGCGGCCCGUCUUGAAACACGGACCAAGGAGUCUAACAUCUAUGCGAGUGUUUGGGUGUCAAGCCCGAACGCGUAAUGAAAGUGAACGGAGGUGGGAACCCUUUAGGGCGCACCAUCGACCGAUCCUGAUGUCUUCGGAAGGAUUUGAGUAAGAGCAUGGCUGUUGGGACCCGAAAGAUGGUGAACUAUGCUUGAAUAGGGUGAAGCCAGAGGAAACUCUGGUGGAGGCUCGCAGCGGUUCUGACGUGCAAAUCGAUCGUCAAAUUUGGGCAUAGGGGCGAAAGACUAAUCGAACUAUCUAGUAGCUGGUUCCUGC
This 875-nucleotide ribosomal RNA is filed under the name Plenodomus collinsoniae. RNAcentral describes it as "partial large subunit ribosomal RNA". It matches the Rfam family "Eukaryotic large subunit ribosomal RNA", at positions 69 to 961 of the family's 3401-position model. The record is from RNAcentral. Lineage: Eukaryota; Fungi; Ascomycota; Dothideomycetes; Pleosporales; Leptosphaeriaceae.